AACGAACGCUGGCGGCAUGCCUAACACAUGCAAGUCGAACGAGACCUUCGGGUCUAGUGGCGCACGGGUGCGUAACGCGUGGGAACCUGCCCUUAGGUUCGGAAUAACUCCCCGAAAGGGGUGCUAAUACCGGAUAAUGUCUUCGGACCAAAGAUUUAUCGCCUUUGGAUGGGCCCGCGUUGGAUUAGCUAGUUGGUAGGGUAAAAGCCUACCAAGGCGACGAUCCAUAGCUGGUCUGAGAGGAUGAUCAGCCACACUGGGACUAAGACACGGCCCAGACUCCUACGGGAGGCAGCAGUGGGGAAUAUUGGACAAUGGGCGAAAGCCUGAUCCAGCAAUGCCGCGUGAGUGAUGAAGGCCUUAGGGUUGUAAAGCUCUUUUACCCGGGAUGAUAAUGACAGUACCGGGAGAAUAAGCUCCGGCUAACUCCGU
This 432-nucleotide ribosomal RNA is filed under the name uncultured bacterium. RNAcentral's name for it is "partial 16S ribosomal RNA". It matches the Rfam family "Bacterial small subunit ribosomal RNA", at positions 29 to 506 of the family's 1533-position model. The record is from RNAcentral.